GUUGAGGUCUAUCCCAAUGGGUCUUUUUCUGUAGACCUACAUCGUUGGAAACACCUCAGAAUAAAUAGGUAGCUUCCUUUACUCACAGAACUAUGUGUUAAAUCUGUGGGAAGCAACUACAAGACAGCU
Molecule: small nucleolar RNA, 129 nt
Organism: Myotis lucifugus (little brown bat)
Lineage: Eukaryota; Metazoa; Chordata; Mammalia; Chiroptera; Vespertilionidae
Source: Ensembl